UGGGGACACUGUUGGGACCGCCUCUGCUAAAGAGGAGGAAGGAAUGGGCAACGGUAGGUCAGCAUGCCCCGAAUUAUCUGGGCUACACGCGGGCUACAAUGGGUGGGACAAUGGGUAUCGACACCGAAAGGUGAAGGCAAUCUCCUAAACCCAUCCGUAGUUCGGAUUGUGGGCUGCAACUCGCCCACAUGAAGCUGGAAUCUGUAGUAAUCGUGUCUCAAAUGGCACGGUGAAUAUGUCCCUGCUCCUU
This 250-nucleotide ribosomal RNA is filed under the name uncultured Methanomicrobiales archaeon. RNAcentral's name for it is "partial 16S ribosomal RNA". It matches the Rfam family "Archaeal small subunit ribosomal RNA", at positions 1088 to 1338 of the family's 1478-position model. Lineage: Archaea; Methanobacteriati; Methanobacteriota; Methanomicrobia; Methanomicrobiales. The record is from RNAcentral.